This 431-nucleotide ribosomal RNA is filed under the name uncultured bacterium. Its description in RNAcentral is "partial 16S ribosomal RNA". It matches the Rfam family "Bacterial small subunit ribosomal RNA", at positions 29 to 507 of the family's 1533-position model. The record is from RNAcentral.
AACGAACGCUGGCGGCAGGCUUAACACAUGCAAGUCGAGCGCCCCGCAAGGGGAGCGGCAGACGGGUGAGUAACGCGUGGGAACGUACCUUUUGGUUCGGAACAACUCCGGGAAACUGGAGCUAAUACCGGAUAAGCCCUAACGGGGAAAGAUUUAUCGCCGAAAGAUCGGCCCGCGUCUGAUUAGCUAGUUGGUGAGGUAACGGCUCACCAAGGCGACGAUCAGUAGCUGGUCUGAGAGGAUGAUCAGCCACACUGGGACUGAGACACGGCCCAGACUCCUACGGGAGGCAGCAGUGGGGUAUAUUGGACAAUGGGCGCAAGCCUGAUCCAGCCAUGCCGCGUGAGUGAUGAAGGCCUUAGGGUUGUAAAGCUCUUUUGUCCGGGAAGAUAAUGACUGUACCGGAAGAAUAAGCCCCGGCUAACUUCGUG